This is a long non-coding RNA of Daphnia pulex (common water flea), 387 nucleotides long. RefSeq lists it as uncharacterized. The transcript is spliced from 4 exons. The record is from RefSeq and is a predicted model, not a curated record. NCBI's taxonomy places the organism in Eukaryota, Metazoa, Arthropoda, Branchiopoda, Diplostraca, Daphniidae.
UUACUGUCUUUCACGUUUCGAUGAGUAUAAAGUGAACUAUUAAACAUUUCAAAAAGUUGAUUAAGUAGCAAAAUGUGGUAAAGCAGAUUAAGUGUGAAACCAACAUUAUAGUGAGAUCCUUGUGAAUGGAAAAUAGCAUGAUCCAGGCUGUUCUUCAAUUGCAAAGAAAGAGAAUUAUGAUUGAAACAAAUGCAAAAUUUCCAACUGGAAUUCUCUUCAUAUUCGUGGUAAUUUUGGAAUUCCAGAGAAUAACACCUUAAAAAGAAAGAACUGUGGCUGUGCUAAUGUAGCAGUAUUGCGUGAAUCUGUUGCCGCCAUUCCAUAGACUGACCCAUUGGAAUGGUGAAACUGGCGAGUAAACGCUGAAAUUCAAGAAAAUUAUGUUGA